GCAGCAGAUGUAGCACCGCUACAAGUGCAUCAGGCGUUAUAAUGUCACUGCUAAGUCGAACUGGAGCAGGAAAACGAGCAAACGUGUGCUGGACUCAAAUAAACGACCCCUGAAGCGAUAACCAGUUGCUCACGGAGUAUAUGCUGUUGGCUGGAUAUGUUACUUCUCAACCACUUCGAGUUGUUACAGUGUCAAGCUGCAACUCCCCAGAAAAUGAUCGUAAGCCCCAAUACACUGGACCCCGCCUAAAUCAUACUACAGCAUGAAACCGUGAUAUUUUCGGACUAGGAAGGACCUCAUUUCAUCAUCAUCAUCAUCAUCAUCAUCAUCAACAACAACAACAACAAAAAGCAAAUUCAGACAUACAAACACACACUUAUUCAACAACUACACAUACCAUCAAAAAAAGUGUCAUACAUUUUCAGGGAGAAAAAGAUACUAAGCUGUAUCUUUCCUUAUGGUGGUACCCUCUUGUUUAGUAUAUCCUGUAUAUAUGUUGUAACUAGAAAUAAAGAUAGAAAUGUACUGUUAAAACUUUAGUCCAAAUACAAUUGUGGUCCAAUUAUAUUUUUUAUAUUGUCUAUUAUAUUUAAUUAUAUCUUAUAUAUUUUAAUGGUACACUAUUUACAUGUUUCCACGUCAAUAAUACAUCUUAAAGGUACAAAAGAUAAGCCUACCACCCCGGGACAGGAAAGAUACACUGUCGUAAGCUUUUUUUUCCCUUCUACUUUUGAGAUUAUAGAAGACACGAGGAAUCUUCAGAGUAAAAUACACACUAAACACCAGGUGGCGCUGAAAGAUCAUCAAUAAGAUUUUAUUUUCGGCUGCUGCUGAUUCAGUACUAAAACUGAGCACUCAAGGCAGUUUUCCGUUGUUGAGAAGUAGUUGGAAGUUUGACAUAAUUUGAUACACCAAUGAUUUGGGAUCAAGUCAGUAUGAAAUUGUAGUGGGAAUAAAAUCCAGUUUUUAUUAUUAUCAUUAUUAUCAUUAUUUAUCAUAUACAUAACCAAUCUUUUCUAAAGUUCAGUAUAAAUGGAUUAAGUAAAAAACAAAUGACUCAGAUCCAUUCAUCUCUCCAUCUUCUCUACGGUUCAUCCUACACAGGGUCGUGGGGAGCCUUGCGCCUAUCCUAGGGGAGAGGCUAGGGGACACCCUGGACAGGGUGGCAACCCAUCAAAGGGCACAAUCACACACUUUCACACACUACAGACAAUUUUGACAUGAGAAAAUUUCUGCAUACUAAGUACGGACAAUUUAGAAAUGCCAAUCGGCUUUCAAUGCAUGUUUUUGGACAAUGGGAGGAAACUGGGUGAACCCAGUGGCACAGGUAGAAAAUUUCUGCACACUAAGUAAUAAUUCUAUAUUUCCCAGCCUACCUUAUUCCCCUGCUUCUUAAGAUUUCACACAAAAACCAAUAUUUACUUCACAUGUAAUCCAUUCAUGCAUCAUUUCACCACAGUUAUUGGUGGUUUCGUGAGUCCACUGUAUUUCUUUUGUUUUCCUCACUCCACUUAUUGCAUGUUUAUACUGUCCCAAUUGACCUGAACCAUGCUUGACAAUAUUAAAAAUGAUGAAAUUAUAAACAUAUGUGCA
Ictalurus punctatus (channel catfish) is the source of this 1593-nucleotide long non-coding RNA. RefSeq lists it as uncharacterized. The record is from RefSeq and is a predicted model, not a curated record. Lineage: Eukaryota; Metazoa; Chordata; Actinopteri; Siluriformes; Ictaluridae. The transcript is spliced from 3 exons.